This 410-nucleotide ribosomal RNA is filed under the name uncultured bacterium. RNAcentral describes it as "bacterial SSU rRNA". It matches the Rfam family "Bacterial small subunit ribosomal RNA", at positions 355 to 776 of the family's 1533-position model. The record is from RNAcentral.
UCGAGAAUCUUCCGCAAUGGACGAAAGUCUGACGGAGCGACGCCGCGUGCGGGAUGAAGGCCUUCGGGUUGUAAACCGCUGUCAGAGGGGAGCAAAUGGAAACUUGAGCGAUCCUCAGAGGAAGUACGGGCUAAGUUCGUGCCAGCAGCCGCGGUAACACGAACCGUACGAACGUUAUUCGGAAUCACUGGGCUUAAAGAGUCCGUAGGCGGCUUUGUAGGUGGGGUGUGAAAGCCCACGGCUCAACCGUGGAAUUGCGCUUCAAACCACAAGACUUGAGGAAGAUAGAGGAGAGCGGAACUGAUGGUGGAGCGGUGAAAUGCGUUGAUAUUAUCAGGAACACCGGUGGCGAAGGCGGCUCUCUGGAUCUUUUCUGACGCUGAGGGACGAAAGCUAGGGGAGCGAACGGG